Non-coding RNA from Ciona intestinalis (vase tunicate), 330 nucleotides. The record is from RefSeq and is a predicted model, not a curated record. NCBI's taxonomy places the organism in Eukaryota, Metazoa, Chordata, Ascidiacea, Phlebobranchia, Cionidae.
UACUAAAUGGGAAGUAAAAAUAGAAUGAAAAGAUGUCUCAUCUUCCCUCAUCACUCUACUUUACCAAAAAAAUACGGACUCUGACUUAAACCAUAUACCAUUAGGAUUUUAAAAAAAUUUAUUGUAAGAAUUCUCAGUAGUCACACAUAAUUACAGGCACAAUGGUCAUAACAAUGAAGGAUAAAUAAUGUAUGGGAAGAUCAGUCAUCAGUACUGUACUAACGUAACUUAUUCAUACUCGGUGCCGGCAAAGUGGUUAGCGCGCCUGCCUGUAACCAGUAGGUAAUGGGUUUAAGGCUCGUUGCUGCUACCAUUGUGGACGUAUGUAUC